GAUGAACGCUGGCGGCGUGCCUAAUACAUGCAAGUCGAGCGAACAGAUGAGAAGCUUGCUUCUCUGAUGUUAGCGGCGGACGGGUGAGUAACACGUGGGUAACCUACCUAUAAGACUGGGAUAACUCCGGGAAACCGGGGCUAAUACCGGAUAAUAUUUUGGACCGCAUGGUUCAAUAGUGAAAGACGGUUUCGGCUGUCACUUAUAGAUGGACCCGCGCCGUAUUAGCUAGUUGGUAAGGUAACGGCUUACCAAGGCGACGAUACGUAGCCGAGCUGAGGGGGUGGUCGGCCACACUGGAACUGAGACACGGUCCAGACUCCUACGGGAGGCAGCAGGAGGGAAUCUUCCGCAAUGGGCGAAAGCCUGACGGAGCAACGCCGCGUGAGUGAUGAAGGUCUUCGGAUCGUAAAACUCUGUUGUUAGGGAAGAACAAAUUUGUUAGUAACUGAACAAGUCUUGACGGUACCUAACCAGAAAGCCACGGCUAACUACGUGCCAGCCGCCGCAGUAA
This 514-nucleotide ribosomal RNA is filed under the name uncultured bacterium. RNAcentral's name for it is "partial 16S ribosomal RNA". It matches the Rfam family "Bacterial small subunit ribosomal RNA", at positions 28 to 523 of the family's 1533-position model. The record is from RNAcentral.